GCGUGAAGCUGCGGAGAGAAGGGAAGUCAGUGGUGAGGAGGACAGGAGGUCAGCAUGAAAAUGCAGUUCAAAGUCCAUGCAGUUCAGAGUCCAAGCAGCAGAUCCUUUCUUUCGGUUUAAUCUUUCCAAACUCCUAUUUUAUUUUUAUUUUAAUAAUGUGUAAUUAAUUUUAUUUUGGCUAGAGGUUAAUUCGAAACCAUGAAUAUAUUUGU
Molecule: long non-coding RNA, 212 nt
Filed under: Malus domestica (apple)
Lineage: Eukaryota; Viridiplantae; Streptophyta; Magnoliopsida; Rosales; Rosaceae
Description: long non-coding RNA (MDOM_LNC020624)
Source: RNAcentral